Etheostoma cragini (Arkansas darter) is the source of this 97-nucleotide long non-coding RNA. RefSeq lists it as uncharacterized. The transcript is spliced from 3 exons. NCBI's taxonomy places the organism in Eukaryota, Metazoa, Chordata, Actinopteri, Perciformes, Percidae. The record is from RefSeq and is a predicted model, not a curated record.
AAGUGAAAUUCAGUUGGUUGUCAUUUACAAUUUCACCGCUAGAUGGGAGAAAUUCUUACACAAUGUAGCUUUAAAGACUGUCAACUGAUGACAGAUA